This 742-nucleotide ribosomal RNA is filed under the name uncultured organism. RNAcentral's name for it is "bacterial SSU rRNA". It matches the Rfam family "Bacterial small subunit ribosomal RNA", at positions 33 to 749 of the family's 1533-position model. The record is from RNAcentral.
ACGCUGGCGGCGUGCUUACACAUCUCUGUCGACGAUACNUCUUAGCUUGCUAGAGAAAGUAAAGUGGCGCACGGGUGAGUAACGCGUGGGUAAUCUGCCUCCGAAUCGGGGAUAACAUUGCGAAAGCGAUGCUAAUACCGGAUAAAAUCUGGUUGGCUUAGGUGAACCGGAUCAAAGGUGGUCUCUUUAUAAAAGCUACCGUUUGGAGAUGAGCUCGCGUACCAUUAGCUAGUUGGUGAGGUAAAGGCUCACCAAGGCGACGAUGGUUAGCUGGUCUGAGAGGAUGAUCAGCCACACCGGAACUGGAACACGGUCCGGACUCCUACGGGAGGCAGCAGUGAGGAAUUUUGCGCAAUGGGGGAAACCCUGACGCAGCAACGCCGCGUGAGUGAUGAAGGCUUUCGGGUCGUAAAGCUCUGUCAGGUGGGAAGAACCCACCAAGUGUUAAGACCACUUGGUGCUGACGGUACCACCGAAGGAAGCACCGGCUAACUCCGUGCCAGCAGCCGCGGUAAUACGGGGGGUGCGAGCGUUAUUCGGAAUCAUUGGGCGUAAAGGGCGCGCAGGCGGUUAUGUAAGUCAGAUGUGAAAUCCCGGGGCUUAACCCCGGAAGUGCAUAUGAAACUAUGAGACUUGAGUAUGGGAGAGGAAAGCGGAAUACCUGGUGUAGCGGUGAAAUUGCGUAGAUAUCAGGAGGAACACCGGUUGCGAAGGCGGCUUCCUGGACCAGUACUGACGCUGA